GCCCCCUUGGCCUAAUGGCUAAGGCAUCGGACUUCUAAUCCGAAGAUUGCCGGUUCGAGCCCGGCAGGGGGUG
Molecule: non-coding RNA, 73 nt
Organism: Phialemonium atrogriseum
Lineage: Eukaryota; Fungi; Ascomycota; Sordariomycetes; Cephalothecales; Cephalothecaceae
Source: the annotation of a RefSeq genome assembly